RNAcentral lists this ribosomal RNA (433 nucleotides) under uncultured bacterium. RNAcentral's name for it is "partial 16S ribosomal RNA". It matches the Rfam family "Bacterial small subunit ribosomal RNA", at positions 29 to 507 of the family's 1533-position model. The record is from RNAcentral.
AACGAACGCUGGCGGCAUGCCUAACACAUGCGAGUCGAACGAGACCUUCGGGUCUAGUGGCGCACGGGUGCGUAACGCGUGGGAACCUGCCCUUAGGUUCGGAAUAACUCCCCGAAAGGGGUGCUAAUACCGGAUAAUGUCUUCGGACCAAAGAUUUAUCGCCUUUGGAUGGGCCCGCGUUGGAUUAGCUAGUUGGUAGGGUAAAAGCCUACCAAGGCGACGAUCCAUAGCUGGUCUGAGAGGAUAAUCAGCCACACUGGGACUGAGACACGGCCCAGACUCCUACGGGAGGCAGCAGUGGGGAAUAUUGGACAAUGGGCGAAAGCCUGAUCCAGCAAUGCCGCGUGAGUGAUGAAGGCCUUAGGGUUGUAAAGCUCUUUUACCCGGGAUGAUAAUGACAGUACCGGGAGAAUAAGCGCCGGCUAACUCCGUG